RNAcentral lists this unclassified non-coding RNA (372 nucleotides) under soil metagenome. Its description in RNAcentral is "partial contains 5.8S ribosomal RNA, internal transcribed spacer 2, and large subunit ribosomal RNA". The stretch from base 4 to 120 matches the Rfam family "5.8S ribosomal RNA", at positions 39 to 154 of the family's 154-position model. The record is from RNAcentral.
GAUAAGAACGCAGCGAAAUGCGAUAAGUAAUGCGAAUUGCAGAAUUCCAGUGAGUCAUCGAAUCUUUGAACGCACAUUGCGCCCUUUGGUAUUCCGAAGGGCAUGCCUGUUCGAGCGUCAUUAUCACCCCUCAAGCCCUCGGCUUGGUGUUGGACGGUUUGGUGGAGGCCCCCUCGGGGGCUCCUGCCCCUCCCAAAGACAAUGACGGCGGCCUCGUUGGACCCCCGGUACACUGAGUUCUUCACGGGACACGUAUCGGACACAUGGGUUUACGGGACACGGUCUGCCUCCCCUCAGGGAGAAUCUUUCUAAGGUUGACCUCGGAUCAGGUAGGGAUACCCGCUGAACUUAAGCAUAUCAAUAAGCGGAGGA